UGCGCAGGCGGCCGUGUGUGUCAGGUGUGAAAUCCCGGGGCUUAACCCCGGAACUGCGCCUGAAACUACAUGGCUAGAGUAUUGGAGAGGGUAGCGGAAUUCACGGUGUAGCAGUGAAAUGCGUAGAUAUCGUGAGGAACACCAGAGGCGAAGGCGGCUACCUGGACAAUUACUGACGCUCAGGCACGAAAGCGGUGGGGAGCAAAAGGGAUUAGAUACCCCUGUAGUCCACGCCCUAAACGGUGCACACUAGGUCUUGGCGGAUUCCGACCCCACCAGGGCCCAAGCUAACGCGUUAAGUGUGCCGCCUGAGGACUACGGCCGCAAGGCUAAA
Molecule: ribosomal RNA, 334 nt
Filed under: uncultured bacterium
Lineage: Bacteria
Description: bacterial SSU rRNA
Rfam family: Bacterial small subunit ribosomal RNA
Source: RNAcentral